CUACCAUGCAGUCGAGCGAGAAGUCGGAAGUGAAACUUCGGUGAAGCUGAAGAUGGAAAGCGGCAGACGGGUGAGUAACGCGUGAAUAAUCAACCCUGUACAAAGGGAUAGCCUCGGGAAACCGGGAUUAAUACCAUAUGAAGUAUAUUAAUCGCAUGAUAGAUAUAUUAAAACUUUGGUGGUACAGGACGAGUUCGCGUCCCAUUAGCUAGUUGGUGAGAUAAAAGCUUACCAAGGCGACGAUGGGUAGCCGGCCUGAGAGGGUGAACGGCUACACUGGAACUGAGACACGGUCCAGACUCCUACGGGAGGCAGCAGUGGGGAAUAUUGCACAAUGGAGGAAACUCUGAUGCAGCGACGCCGCGUGAGCGAAGAAGGCUUUCGAGUCGUAAAGCUCUGUCCUAAGAGAAGAAGAAGUGACGGUAACUUAGGAGGAAGCCCCGGCUAACUACGUGCCAGCAGCCGCGGUAAUACGUAGGGGGCUAGCGUUGUCCGGAAUUACUGGGCGUAAAGGGUGAGUAGGUGGUCAUUAAAGUCAGAUGUAAAAGGCAAUGGCUCAACCAUUGUAAGCAUUUGAAACUUAAUGACUUGAGUGCAGGAGAGGUAAAUGGAAUUCCUAGUGUAGCGGUGAAAUGCGUAGAUAUUAGGAAGAACACCAGUGGCGAAGGCGAUUUACUGGACUGUAACUGACACUGAGUCACGAAAGCGUGGGGAGCGAACAGGAUUAGAUACCCUGGUAGUCCACGCUGUAAACGAUGAGUGCUAGGUGUCGGCAAGAGAUUGUCGGUGCCGCAGUUAACGCAUUAAGCACUCCGCCUGGGGAGUACGAUCGCAAGAUUGAAACUCAAAGGAAUUGACGGGGACCCGCACAAGCAGCGGAGCAUGUGGUUUAAUUCGAAGCAACGCGAAGAACCUUACCAAGACUUGACAUCCUCUUGACAGGUGUAGAAGUACACCCUCUCUUCGGAGCAAGAGUGACAGGUGGUGCAUGGUUGUCGUCAGCUCGUGUCGUGAGAUGUUGGGUUAAGUCCCGCAACGAGCGCAACCCUUAUCAUUAGUUGCCAUCAUUAAGUUGGGAACUCUAAUGAGACUGCCGGUGAUAAACCGGAGGAAGGUGGGGAUGACGUCAAAUCAUCAUGCCCCUUAUGUCUUGGGCUACACACGUGCUACAAUGGUCGGUACAACGGGAAGCUAAGGAGUGAUCUGGAGCUAACCCCAAUAAGCCGAUCCCAGUUCGGAUUGCAGGCUGCAACUCGCCUGCAUGAAGUUGGAGUUGCUAGUAAUCGCGAAUCAGAAUGUCGCGGUGAAUGCGUUCCCGGGUCUUGUACACACCGCCCGUCACACCACGGGAGUUGGUAAUACCCGAAGCCGUCGAGCUAACGUAAGAGGCAGACGUCGAAGU
This 1402-nucleotide ribosomal RNA is filed under the name Peptostreptococcaceae bacterium Col 18. RNAcentral's name for it is "bacterial SSU rRNA". It matches the Rfam family "Bacterial small subunit ribosomal RNA". Lineage: Bacteria; Bacillati; Bacillota; Clostridia; Peptostreptococcales; Peptostreptococcaceae. The record is from RNAcentral.